Molecule: ribosomal RNA, 484 nt
Filed under: uncultured bacterium
Lineage: Bacteria
Description: partial 16S ribosomal RNA
Rfam family: Bacterial small subunit ribosomal RNA
Source: RNAcentral
AUUGAACGCUGGCGGCAUGCUUUACACAUGCAAGUCGAACGGCAGCGCGGGCUUCGGCCUGGCGGCGAGUGGCGAACGGGUGAGUAAUACAUCGGAACGUGCCCAGUAGUGGGGGAUAGCUCGGCGAAAGCCGGAUUAAUACCGCAUACGACCUGAGGGUGAAAGCGGGGGAUCUUCGGACCUCGCGCUAUUGGAGCGGCCGAUGGCAGAUUAGCUAGUUGGUGGGGUAAAGGCCUACCAAGGCGACGAUCUGUAGCUGGUCUGAGAGGACGUCCAGCCACACUGGGACUGAGACACGGCCCAGACUCCUACGGGAGGCAGCAGUGGGGAAUUUUGGACAAUGGGCGAAAGCCUGAUCCAGCAAUGCCGCGUGUGUGAUGAAGGCCUUCGGGUUGUAAAGCACUUUUGGCGGGAACGAAAAGGACUGUGCCAAUACCACGGUUCGAUGACGGUACCCGCAGAAUAAGCACCGGCUAACUACGUG